Molecule: ribosomal RNA, 390 nt
Filed under: Cercopithecus roloway
Lineage: Eukaryota; Metazoa; Chordata; Mammalia; Primates; Cercopithecidae
Description: 12S ribosomal RNA
Rfam family: Bacterial small subunit ribosomal RNA
Source: RNAcentral
GCUUAGCCCUAAACCUCAGUAGUUAGACAACAAAACUACUCGCCAGAAUACUACAAGCAACAGCUUGAAACUCAAAGGACUUGGCGGUGCUUCACACCCCCUAGAGGAGCCUGUCCCGUAAUCGAUAAACCCCGAUCCACCCCACCCUCUCUUGCUCAGCCUAUAUACCGCCAUCUUCAGCAAACUCUGAUAAAGACUACAAAGUGAGCGCAAAUGCCCUUCCUCGCAAAAACGUUAGGUCAAGGUGUAGCCCAUGAGACGGUAAAAGAUGGGCUACAUUUUCUAUCUCAGAAAACCCCACGAUAACUCUUAUGAAACCUAAGAGUCCAAGGAGGAUUUAGCAGUAAAUUAAGAAUAGAGUGCUUAAUUGAACUAGGCCAUAAAGCACGC